GACGAACGCUGGCGGCGUGCUUAACACAUGCAAGUCGAACGAUGAAGGAGAGCUUGCUCUCCGGAUUAGUGGCGAACGGGUGAGUAACACGUGACUAACCUGCCCCUUUCUCUGGGAUAACGCUCCGAAAGGAGUGCUAAUACCGGAUACGAACUCUGAACACAUGUUCGGAGUUGGAAAGUUUUUCGGAAAGGGAUGGAGUCGCGGCCUAUCAGCUUGUUGGUGAGGUCACGGCUCACCAAGGCGACGACGGGUAGCCGGCCUGAGAGAGCAAGCGGACAGAGUGGGGCGGAGCCAAGGCCCAGACUCCUACGGUAGGCAGCAGAGGGGAAGAUGGCACAAUGGGCGAAAGCCUGAUGCAGCGACGCCGCGUGAGGGAUGUAGGUCUUCGGAUUGUAAACCUCUUUCAGUAGGGACGAAGCGAAAGUGACGGUACCUAAAGAAGAAGCACCGGCUAACUACGUGCCAGCCGCCGCAGUAA
RNAcentral lists this ribosomal RNA (481 nucleotides) under uncultured bacterium. RNAcentral's name for it is "partial 16S ribosomal RNA". It matches the Rfam family "Bacterial small subunit ribosomal RNA", at positions 28 to 523 of the family's 1533-position model. The record is from RNAcentral.